This 481-nucleotide ribosomal RNA is filed under the name uncultured bacterium. RNAcentral's name for it is "SSU rRNA". It matches the Rfam family "Bacterial small subunit ribosomal RNA", at positions 26 to 523 of the family's 1533-position model. The record is from RNAcentral.
AGGACGAACGCUGGCGGCGUGCUUAACACAUGCAAGUCGAGCGAGGCCCUUCCUUCGGGAAGGUGCCCUAGCGGCGAACGGGUGAGUAACACGUGGGCAACCUGCCCCUAGCACUGGGAUAAGCCCGGGAAACCGGGUCUAAUACCGGAUAUGACCUUCGAGGGCAUCCUUGAAGGUGUAAAGGAUUCUGGCUAGGGAUGGGCCCGCGGCCUAUCAGCUUGUUGGUGGGGUAAUGGCCUACCAAGGCGACGACGGGUAGCCGGCCUGAGAGGGCGACCGGCCACACUGGGACUGAGACACGGCCCAGACUCCUACGGGAGGCAGCAGUGGGGAAUCUUGCACAAUGGGCGAAAGCCUGAUGCAGCGACGCCGCGUGAGGGAUGACUGCCUUCGGGUUGUAAACCUCUUUCAGCAGGGACGAAGCGAAAGUGACGGUACCUGCAGAAGAGCACGGCCAACUACGCGCCAGCAGCCGCGGUAA